This 270-nucleotide ribosomal RNA is filed under the name uncultured archaeon. RNAcentral's name for it is "partial 16S ribosomal RNA". It matches the Rfam family "Archaeal small subunit ribosomal RNA", at positions 477 to 747 of the family's 1478-position model. The record is from RNAcentral.
CAGCACCUCAAGUGGUCAGGAUGAUUAUUGGGCCUAAAGCAUCCGUAGCCUGCUUUGUUAGUUUUCGGUUAAAUCCAUACGCUCAACGUAUGGGCUGCCGGGAAUACUGCAAAGCUAGGGAGUGGGAGAGGUAGACGGUACUCGGUAGGAAGGGGUAAAAUCCUUUGAUCUAUUAAUGACCACCUGUGGCGAAGGCGGUCUACCAGAACACGUCCGACGGUGAGGGAUGAAAGCUGGGGGAGCAAACCGGAUUAGAGACCCGAGUAGUCC